Molecule: long non-coding RNA, 605 nt
Organism: Choloepus didactylus (southern two-toed sloth)
Lineage: Eukaryota; Metazoa; Chordata; Mammalia; Pilosa; Megalonychidae
Exons: 5
Source: RefSeq, a predicted model, not a curated record
GCAUAUGAAGGCUUGCCAGGCUCAGUUACAACUGAAAUGUGACAUUAGAGGUACUUCCUGAUGAAAUUGAGUUUAUGAGUUUUAGGCUGUGUCUUUGGACAUGUCAGAAAAAGUUAAAAAAUUUAAAAAAAGACAAUAACCGUUGUCGGGAAUCUGCUACAGUGUUGAGCUCAACGGUGAAGGGAAUCCAAAGAAGUACAAGACAGAACAGGAGACACGACAGCCUUCUUUUCAAUGGAGAGAGAGCUUCCCUGACCUUGACUUUCCUUGAAGGUGCCCACUGCUGGGGAUGUCAUUGAUGAGGGAAACCAAAGUGGAUCAUGGAUAACAUGGAAAAAUGCAGAGUAUCAUCAAGCCAAACCUGAGGUUUACUGCCUGUGCAUACCUGGACUACAUUUCCAAGACUUCUUUGCAGUGGGGUGGCAUCAUGUCAUUGAGUUCCAGCCAAUAGAAGUUGGCAGAAGUGAUGUGCCCAUAAAUUCAUCCUAUGCAAACAUUCUCCAUGAUCUCUCCUCCUGUGUUUUCUGGCUGAAUGGAGAUGACUCUGAGUAUUUAGAGGAGGGUGGAGCUAGAGGAUGGAAGGAGUGUGGGUCUCUGAAUGAUUA